AGUGAACGCUGGCGGUAGGCCUAACACAUGCAAGUCGAACGGCAGCACAGUAAGAGCUUGCUCUUACGGGUGGCGAGUGGCGGACGGGUGAGGAAUACAUCGGAAUCUACUUUUUCGUGGGGGAUAACGUAGGGAAACUUACGCUAAUACCGCAUACGACCUACGGGUGAAAGCAGUGGAUCUUCGGACCUUGCGCGAUUGAAUGAGCCGAUGUCGGAUUAGCUAGUUGGCGGGGUAAAGGCCCACCAAGGCGACGAUCCGUAGCUGGUCUGAGAGGAUGAUCAGCCACACUGGAACUGAGACACGGUCCAGACUCCUACGGGAGGCAGCAGUGGGGAAUAUUGGACAAUGGGCGCAAGCCUGAUCCAGCCAUGCCGCGUGGGUGAAGAAGGCCUUCGGAUUGUAAAGCCCUUUUGUUGGGAAAGAAAAGCAGCAGGUUAAUACCCCGCUGCUCUGACGGUACCCAAAGAAUAAGCACCGGCUAACUUCGUG
RNAcentral lists this ribosomal RNA (492 nucleotides) under uncultured bacterium. RNAcentral describes it as "partial 16S ribosomal RNA". It matches the Rfam family "Bacterial small subunit ribosomal RNA", at positions 29 to 507 of the family's 1533-position model. The record is from RNAcentral.